GACGAACGCUGGCGGCGUGCCUAAUACAUGCAAGUAGAACGCUGAAGGAGGAGCUUGCUCUUCUGGAUGAGUUGCGAACGGGCGAGUAACGCGUAGGUAACCUGCCUGGUAGCGGGGGAUAACUAUUGGAAACGAUAGCUAAUACCGCAUAAGAGUAGAUGUUGCAUGACAUUUACUUAAAAGGUGCAAUUGCAUCACUACCAGAUGGACCUGCGUUGUAUUAGCUAGUUGGUGGGGUAACGGCUUACCAAGGCGACGAUACAUAGCCGACCUGAGAGGGUGAUCGGCCACACUGGGACUGAGACACGGCCCAGACUCCUACGGGAGGCAGCAGUAGGGAAUCUUCGGCAAUGGACGGAAGUCUGACCGAGCAACGCCGCGUGAGUGAAGAAGGUUUUCGGAUCGUAAAGCUCUGUUGUAAGAGAAGAACGAGUGUGAGAGUGGAAAGUUCACACUGUGACGGUAUCUUACCAGAAAGGGACGGCUAACUACGUG
RNAcentral lists this ribosomal RNA (495 nucleotides) under uncultured bacterium. RNAcentral describes it as "partial 16S ribosomal RNA". It matches the Rfam family "Bacterial small subunit ribosomal RNA", at positions 28 to 507 of the family's 1533-position model. The record is from RNAcentral.